GUUUGACCAUGGGAUAUUAGUUCGUGGUUUCACUCACUCGUACUCACGAAUGAGACUUCGACCGGUUGAAGAACGGAAUCACUCUGAAGGAAAAUUAUGAGUCCCAGAAGAACUAAAAAAGCGGCUUCCCCUCAAAAAAGUAAACGUCAAAAAAACAAAAAGAGGGAACUUGCCGUCGCAGCCACGCCGUUAAGGCCUGCUUUGGGGCGGCCACCAAACACUAUAAGAAAAAGCGAGCGGCUCGAGAAUGCAGCACACCCUCGCCCUGGCCCAUCUAACGAGAGCGGGCAAAGAAUCACAUUUACGCUACCGCCUUCUGUGCAAGAACAAAUGGUCACUUGCGCCAUUACCGAGGCUAGAGAUUUCCGUGACGAAAUCAAAAUUAAUUUGGAAAUAAAAAUCAAGCCCAUCAACUGAACAUUUCCUUUUGGACAAGUAACAACAAUCGAUCUUAGGGUCCAAAUCAUGCCCUCUGGCGAUUGAAAAAUUCAUUUCUGUACUUGAAAAUCACAAAUUAUUUCUUAUAUCACACAGUUUUUCUCAUAUUGUUCGACAAACAGUUUGCUAUUAAAAAAUAUAUGCAUGCUUACCUGGGUUAUGAGUUUACAUCUUUUGCCUAAUCUUCACACUCGCAGCAUUUAACUCAUUACUUGAUUUCAAACUUACCAGAAUAACAACAGAUGAAAGAAUUUUUGCUAAUUUUGUGCUCAACAUGUAUGACUACACACACAAAAUAAUAUUACUAGUGGCAAUAGAGUGUAAACAAUGGGCAGACAAAGAAGAGGAGGCAGACUAGUCAAUGGAGUAUAACAAUAACUAUAUCCACAACUUUGUUGAUUCGUGAAGGGGAAGAAACUUUCACUGUUUUCCAGCGCAGAGACUAAAAAUUGGGUAAUGAUCUGUAGUUAGCCUGGUGACAGGGCUAGAGAGCGAAGGGCUAUUAGACCAUGAAUGUGUAGAGGUGGACUGCUGUCUGUUUGCUGAGACCAACGCUUAGCCUCUUGCCUAGUUCUCCACUCAUUGUUAUUUGUGUUAUUGCCAUGACCGCACAAGAGAAGAGAGCCACACUCGAAUUAGCUGCAUGGCCAGUUGAACGCGAUCUUGUCGCAUCGUCUGGUCGAUCCUUCGAUGAAACACUGCCGAUCUCUGAAUGGAAAGAUGCCAUCAAACAAGUUAUAACAGUGGCUAUAACGAUCGUAUGUAAAUACUGUACAGCUGUUUGUUAUUUAUUUCUUAAAUUCAGAUUACUGUUGGUAUUUCUCUCUCGUCCGAAAAGCGCUGUAUAGGUGGAUGUCACAUCUGGUGUAUGUGCGGACAUUCAAUAUUACGGAUCGCAAUUUAAACCAUAAAUUUCUUGCUGCUAGAUGAUUUCUUAACACGUUCUUUUUAUAGAAUAUAAAUAAACAUUUAUAAUACAAGGCUGGGUGGUAAACACCGGUCAUACAGAAGAAAACCACACAAUAUUUAAAACAGUGCAAUGGCAAUGGAGAAUGAUUUAUUCUGUGAUAAUGAUAAAUGCAAUGUUAGACAACUAAAUCAGCUACUAAUUACCAUGUAUUGAUCAAACAAGGGAUUGGAGUUUUACACCGAGCAUGCAGCUAAAGCUAUAUAACAGCAAGGCAGCCAGCUAUGUAAACAUAUGCCACAUGCAGAGAUUGAACAGUGUGCCUCAGACAAGAGCUGAAGCUAGGACAGCCAAUCCUCC
This 1705-nucleotide unclassified non-coding RNA is filed under the name Pomacea canaliculata. RNAcentral describes it as "uncharacterized LOC112576448, transcript variant X2". Lineage: Eukaryota; Metazoa; Mollusca; Gastropoda; Architaenioglossa; Ampullariidae. The record is from RNAcentral.